RNAcentral lists this ribosomal RNA (497 nucleotides) under uncultured bacterium. Its description in RNAcentral is "partial 16S ribosomal RNA". It matches the Rfam family "Bacterial small subunit ribosomal RNA", at positions 28 to 507 of the family's 1533-position model. The record is from RNAcentral.
GACGAACGCUGGCGGCGUGCCUAAUACAUGCAAGUAGAACGCUGAAACUUGGUGCUUGCACCGAGCGGAUGAGUUGCGAACGGGUGAGUAACGCGUAGGUAACCUGCCUGGUAGCGGGGGAUAACUAUUGGAAACGAUAGCUAAUACCGCAUAAGAGUAGAUGUUGCAUGACAUUUGCUUAAAAGGUGCAAUUGCACCACUACCAGAUGGACCUGCGUUGUAUUAGCUAGUUGGUGGGGUAACGGCUCACCAAGGCGACGAUACAUAGCCGACCUGAGAGGGUGAUCGGCCACACUGGGACUGAGACACGGCCCAGACUCCUACGGGAGGCAGCAGUAGGGAAUCUUCGGCAAUGGACGGAAGGCUGACCGAGCAACGCCGCGUGAGUGAAGAAGGUUUUCGGAUCGUAAAGCUCUGUUGUAAGAGAAGAACGAGUGUGAGAGUGGAAAGUUCACACUGUGACGGUAUCUUACCAGAAAGGGACGGCUAACUACGUG